GAGUUUGAUCCUGGCUCAGGAUUAACGCUGGCGGCAUGCCUAAUACAUGCAAGUCGAUCGGGUGUAGCAAUACACUAGAGGCGAACGGGUGAGUAACACGUAUCCAAUCUACCCCAUAGUGGGGGACAACUGACCGAAAGGUUAGCUAAUACCGCAUAAUAAAUGCAUUAUCGCAUGAGAAGCAUUUUAAAGGUCCGUUUGGACCGCUAUGGGAUGAGGGUGCGGCAUAUCAGCUAGUUGGUGAGGUAACGGCCCACCAAGGCGAUGACGUGUAGUUAUGCUGAGAGGUAGAAUAACCACAAUGGGACUGAGACACGGCCCAUACUCCUACGGGAGGCAGCAGUAGGGAAUUUUUCACAAUGGACGAAAGUCUGAUGGAGCAAUGCCGCGUGAACGAUGAAGGUUUUAGUGGAUUGUAAAGUUCUUUUAUUUGGGAAGAAUUGCUAGCAAAGGAAAUGUUGCUAGUUUGACGGUACCAUUGAAUUU
RNAcentral lists this ribosomal RNA (486 nucleotides) under uncultured bacterium. RNAcentral's name for it is "bacterial SSU rRNA". It matches the Rfam family "Bacterial small subunit ribosomal RNA", at positions 9 to 488 of the family's 1533-position model. The record is from RNAcentral.